CCACUCAAAAUCGCGUCGCAGCACUCCCCUCUUCCAUUUCGGACCUAUUUCCGACCGGCCACAACAAUAAUGACGGCGCUUCGACGGUAAGUCCUCUUUCCCUUACCCUUUUUGUUUUUUUCGUUUAGUUGUUUUUAAAAGAACAAGAAAGAAAAAAAAUCAAAAGGAACAAAAUAGUAAACAGAAAAGGAAAAAAAAACCGAUUCACCACCUUCAAAAAUUGUUUCUUUUUAUUCCUUGUUUCUAUGUUUUUUGGAUAUCCAAUCGUGUAACCCCUCUUACAAAAAUCCCCUGGCUUUUUAUAGCCAAAUCUUUUACAUAAAUAAAAAAAAACUUUUACAAUUUGUUGCUGUAUAUUCGGUCACUACCCAUGGUUCGUUGCAGGUGAAGGAGAACGUGAAACUGGCAUUGCAAGGCUGCUGAACGUGCGAGCACGACGUGGGCAGUAGAACGGUUGCUGCGGCGUGGGGUGCCUGGUGCCAACUGCUGUUUAGGGUUAGGCUAGGGUUUGCACACUUGGGCCUUAUUGGGCCUUAUUGGGCCAAAUGUAAUUGGGUCAAGAUUGGCCCAAGUUUUAUUGGGUUUGAUUGGUUAAUUUGAGCCCCAGGCAACAAUUGGGUAUUACACUUCGAUACAAUUAAACCAUGCAAUUUGGGCAAUGCAUUAUUAAAUUUAACGGUUCAGCCAUCCAAAUCUUGAAAAACGAUUUCGCGUGGGUUCCCUUCAUGUCUGCCACAAACACAAACACUAUCCAAUCCCUUCUUGUAAUGAGAGAAGGGUGGCAAAUAGUAGUGGCAGAAAAGAAGAGAAAAAAACAAAAGAACAUGAAGUUGGAAGAAAUACACUUUCAACAUGG
This 856-nucleotide long non-coding RNA is filed under the name Gossypium barbadense (sea-island cotton). RNAcentral's name for it is "long non-coding RNA (GBAR_LNC019481)". The record is from RNAcentral. Lineage: Eukaryota; Viridiplantae; Streptophyta; Magnoliopsida; Malvales; Malvaceae.